UUUUUUGCACAAGGAAUCGACUUUUGGACCAAGAGCAUCAGGAAUCGACUUUUUGACAAAAGUUGACCAAACUCAACAAGGGAUCGACAUUUCGCAAAAGUCGAGCAAACCCAACAAGGGAUCGACAUUUAGCUAAAGUCGAGCAAAAUCAACAAGGGAUCGACUUUUUCUUCCCACAUAAAAGGGGCACAGAAAAAAGAACCCAGACAAGUUGGAAUUGCGAAAGCACACCAAGACAGGAGGGUGUAACACGAAAUACUCCUAAGGAAUCGUGAAAGUCCACAACUCGGACGGUGAUACGGCAGCAAAAUGAGCUGAGCCAU
Molecule: long non-coding RNA, 323 nt
Filed under: Zostera marina
Lineage: Eukaryota; Viridiplantae; Streptophyta; Magnoliopsida; Alismatales; Zosteraceae
Description: long non-coding RNA (ZMAR_LNC000056)
Source: RNAcentral